RNAcentral lists this ribosomal RNA (216 nucleotides) under uncultured Streptococcus sp. Its description in RNAcentral is "partial 16S ribosomal RNA". It matches the Rfam family "Bacterial small subunit ribosomal RNA", at positions 1165 to 1382 of the family's 1533-position model. Lineage: Bacteria; Bacillati; Bacillota; Bacilli; Lactobacillales; Streptococcaceae. The record is from RNAcentral.
GGAGGAGGUGGGAUGACGUCAAAUCAUCAUGCCCCUUAUGACCUGGGCUACACACGUGCUACAAUGGUUGGUACAACGAGUUGCGAGUCGGUGACGGCGAGCUAAUCUCUUAAAGCCAAUCUCAGUUCGGAUUGUAGGCUGCAACUCGCCUACAUGAAGUCGGAAUCGCUAGUAAUCGCGGAUCAGCACGCCGCGGUGAAUACGUUCCCGGGUCUU